GCCUUCGUGGUGUAAUGGUUAGCACACUCGGCGCGUAUUCAAAAGAUCCAGGUUCGAGUCCGGGCGAGGACA
RNAcentral lists this transfer RNA (72 nucleotides) under Stegodyphus mimosarum. It matches the Rfam family "tRNA". From Rfam's summary of the family: Transfer RNA (tRNA) molecules are approximately 80 nucleotides in length. Lineage: Eukaryota; Metazoa; Arthropoda; Arachnida; Araneae; Eresidae. The record is from Rfam by way of RNAcentral.